GAUGAACGCUAGCUACAGGCUUAACACAUGCAAGUCGAGGGCAGCAUGAACUUUAGCUUGCUUAAGUUUGAUGGCGACCGGCGCACGGGUGAGUAACACGGUAUCCAACCUUCCGUUUUACUCAGGGAUAGCCUUUCGAAAGAAAGAUUAAUACCUGAUAGUAUGGUGAGAUUGCAUGAUAACACCAUUAAAGAUUUAUUGGUAAACGAUGGGGAUGCGUUCCAUUAGGUAGUAGGCGGGGUAACGGCCACCUAGCCUGCGAUGGAUAGGGGUUCUGAGAGGAAGGUCCCCCACAUUGGAACUGAGACACGGUCCAAACUCCUACGGGAGGCAGCAGUGAGGAAUAUUGGUCAAUGGGCGAGAGCCUGAACCAGCCAAGUAGCGUGAAGGAUGAAGGUCCUACGGAUUGUAAACUUCUUUUAUACGGGAAUAAAGUUUCCUACGUGUAGGAUUUUGUAUGUACCGUAUGAAUAAGCAUCGGCUAACUCCGUG
RNAcentral lists this ribosomal RNA (492 nucleotides) under uncultured bacterium. RNAcentral's name for it is "bacterial SSU rRNA". It matches the Rfam family "Bacterial small subunit ribosomal RNA", at positions 28 to 507 of the family's 1533-position model. The record is from RNAcentral.